AAAUGGAACAUAAGUUUACUUUGUUUUUAUGCGUUCCCAUAGCAUUUUUAAAAGUUGGGAUUCCAUAGAUAGCAUAUACAUGUAUUUAUGAUUAAUAAAUGAAUAAUAAUUAUUGACAGGAAUUAAAGUUUGUGAGUAAUUAAAUGAUACGAGAUCCAGAUAUAGACAUUUAUUUGUUUGGGGAUAUGUGAAAAAUAUGUGGAAAUGUCAAACAAACAAGUUAUUGUGAGUGCAACAAUAUGAUUGUGCAAGCAUUCGUACUAUUAUCACUGAUCAGUGUUAAAGUACUUGGGAUAACACAACCAUGCUACGAGACAUACCUUGCCAAGAAUGGCCACCAGUGUCUCCAAUGAGAUGCGGGAUAUCAUAAAGUGUCUGACUGUAUUAUAGACGGCACACAGUCUGAAUGUAGGCGUUGUAUGAAUGGGACGUACAUGCCAAGUUGUAGCACUGCUACGAGGUGUAAAACCUGUCGGUUGGAUUGUCCUGAUAAAAAUCAGGUCAAAGUAAAGAAUUGCAAGGCCGUUAGUGAUAUAGAGUGCCAGUGUAAAAUCGGAUACUUCUGGAAACCUAUUGUGAUUGGUCCAAAUCACGGACAAUGCAAGCCAUAUCAAAAGUGCAAAGAAGGCCAUGGAGUUGUAGAAAAGGGUACACCAUCCGCCGAUACUAAGUGUUUGCCAUGUGAAAAUGGCUUGACAUACUCCAACAGUUCGUCCUUUGACUCCUGCAUUCCGUUCUCGUCUUGCAACACCUUUAUAGAGACACAGUGCACAGCUUUUAAUGAUACUGUUUGUGGAGAACAGCAGCCCAAACCACAAAAAC
Long non-coding RNA from Ruditapes philippinarum (Manila clam), 822 nucleotides. RefSeq lists it as uncharacterized. The transcript has 3 exons. Lineage: Eukaryota; Metazoa; Mollusca; Bivalvia; Venerida; Veneridae. The record is from RefSeq and is a predicted model, not a curated record.